RNAcentral lists this long non-coding RNA (216 nucleotides) under Elaeis guineensis (African oil palm). RNAcentral's name for it is "long non-coding RNA (EGUI_LNC047526)". Lineage: Eukaryota; Viridiplantae; Streptophyta; Magnoliopsida; Arecales; Arecaceae. The record is from RNAcentral.
AUGCUCUGAUACUACUAUUAGAAUAGGUGUAGGGUUUCAUGCAUGAAUUUCAAAACUUUUUUGAAAUAAAAUACAGCAAAACAUGUAAAUUAAAUAAUUUAAUCUACAAAUACAUGUAAUCAAAUUACUAAACCCUACAAUUAGGACAUAUAAUAUGUCAUAUUAUAUUUAUAAAUUAAAAAAUAAAAUAUUUGAUAUAGAUCAAAUCAAUACCCU